AUUGAACGCGCUGGGCAGACCUAACACAUGCAAGUCGGGCGGGGGAGAGAAGCCUGCUUCUCUUUUGAGCGGCGGACGCGUGAGUAAUGCCUAGGAAUCUGCCUGGGAGUGGGGGGUAACGUUCGGAAACGGACGCUAAUACCCCAUACGUCCUAUGGGAGAAAGCGGGGGACCUUCGGGCCUUGUGCUAUCUGAUGAGCGUAGGGCGGAUUAGCUAGUUGUGGAGGGAAUGGCUCUCCAAGGCGACGAUCCGUAACUGGGCUGAGAGGAUGAUCAGUCACACUGGAACUGAGACACGGUCCAGACUCCUACGGGAGGCAGCGGUGGGGAAUACUGUGACAAUGUGCGAAAGAGUGUUCCAGCCUACCGCGUGUGUGAAAAAAGAUCUUCGGAUUGUAAAACACUUUAAAUUUGGGGGGAAGGGUUUUGGAUUAAAACUCUGCAAUUUUGAGGUUCCCGACCGAAUAAAGCGCCGGGUAACUCUGUGCCAGCACCCCCGGGAUAACAGAGGGGGCGAGCGUUAAUUGAAAUUUCUGGGCGUAAACGCGCGUAGGGGGGUUGUUAAGUUUGAUGUGAAAUCCCCGGGUCACCUUGGGAACUGCUUCAAAACUGAGUGAGUAGAGAUUGGUAGGGGUGGGUGAUUUUCUUUGUGGGGUGAAAUGCGGGAUAUAGGGAGGGACUCUCGGGGCGAGGGGCACACUUGGCUAUAACGACCUGAGGGGCGAAACGGGGGGGCAAAUAGGAUUGAUACUCUAGUAGCCAAGGGCGAAUUCACUUGGCUCUGCGCCCGGGGAUCAUUGUUUGGGGGGCCGCCCGGGGGCCCCUACCCCCUAAUGGGGACAUGGGGCGCCUCUGAGCUCUGUAGACGCCCGGACUGGAAACCCUGCGUACCAAAUAACGCUUAAGUACUCUCCUUUUCUCAUUUGGGUAAACC
Molecule: ribosomal RNA, 934 nt
Filed under: uncultured Catonella sp.
Lineage: Bacteria; Bacillati; Bacillota; Clostridia; Lachnospirales; Lachnospiraceae
Description: partial 16S ribosomal RNA
Rfam family: Bacterial small subunit ribosomal RNA (bases 1-803)
Source: RNAcentral